RNAcentral lists this transfer RNA (67 nucleotides) under Schistosoma mansoni. The record is from RNAcentral. Lineage: Eukaryota; Metazoa; Platyhelminthes; Trematoda; Strigeidida; Schistosomatidae.
CAGUAGCUGAGUGGAUAACGCGAUGGCAUUUGAAACAAAAGUUACUGGGUUCGAGUCUCAGAGUGGA